CGCAGCCGCGGUAAUUCCAGCUCCAAUAGCGUAUAUUAAAGUUGUUGCAGUUAAAAGCUCGUAGUUGAAUUUCGGGGUUAGUAGGUUGGUCAUGCCUCUGGUAUGUACUGGUCUCACUGAUUCCUCCUUCCUGAUGAGCCGUAAUGCCAUUAAUUUGGUGUUGCGGGGAAUUUGGACUGUUACUUUGAAAAAUUAGAGUGUUUAAAGCAAGCUAACGCUUGAAUACAUUAGCAUGGAAUAAUGAAAUAGGACGUUCGAUCCUAUUUUGUUGGUUUCUAGGAUUGACGUAAUGAUUAAUAGGGAUAGUUGGGGGCAUUAGUAUUCAAUUGUCAGAGGUGAAAUUCUUGGAUUUAUUGAAGACUAACUACUGCGAAAGCAUUUGCCAAGGAUGUUUUCAUUAAUCAAGAACGAAAGUUAGGGAUCGAAGACGAUCAGAUACCGUCGUAGUC
Molecule: unclassified non-coding RNA, 449 nt
Filed under: uncultured Glomus
Lineage: Eukaryota; Fungi; Glomeromycota; Glomeromycetes; Glomerales; Glomeraceae
Description: SSU rRNA
Rfam family: Eukaryotic small subunit ribosomal RNA
Source: RNAcentral